CUGCCAGAAUUCAUAUGCUUGUCCCGAAGAAUCAAGCCAUGCAUGCCCAUGAGAAAUGAACGGCCAAACUGUGGUCCAGGGGAGCUACCCGCUCCCAGGCCCGACCUGGUUGUAAGGAUUCAGCGAACGGCUCCGCAUAUCUGUUGUCACCUAUCGUGGUAAAUUGGCGUGGAUAGAGCACGGAAAAGCUGUGUAUAACACAGAUAAGAUGGGGCAAGCGCAGAGUAGAUAGCCCUUGCUCAGCGAAUAAAUGGGCCGUAACCUUCGGCCCUGCCUCGUAAAUGGCUCCCAUAUAACGUGCCGUCGAUAAACCGUGCGGGAAAGUUAUGCGGAGGCCUCUGCCGGGGAGGUCGCUGUCCAAAUCCCGGAAAUUCACAGUAGACACCCAACCAUGCAGAGACUAACCACUAGCGCACGAUGGACUUCAGACCUAUCAGCUAGAUGGUAGGGUAUUGGCCUACCAUGGCCAUGACGGGUACAGAGGAUUAGGGUUUGAUCCUGGAGAGGUAGCCUGAGAAAUCGCUCCCACUUCUAAGGAAGGCAGCAGGCGCGUAACGUUCCCAAUGCUAAGUACAGUGAGGACGUAAUGGGAUAUAACAAUGCCUCUUUAAUAGUGG
Molecule: ribosomal RNA, 617 nt
Filed under: Lycogala sp.
Lineage: Eukaryota; Evosea; Eumycetozoa; Liceales; Enteridiidae
Description: partial small subunit ribosomal RNA
Rfam family: Eukaryotic small subunit ribosomal RNA
Source: RNAcentral